RNAcentral lists this long non-coding RNA (412 nucleotides) under Carica papaya (papaya). Its description in RNAcentral is "long non-coding RNA (CPAP_LNC016674)". The record is from RNAcentral. Lineage: Eukaryota; Viridiplantae; Streptophyta; Magnoliopsida; Brassicales; Caricaceae.
CCACGAAAUCACUAAUUUAAACUUUAUUAUUUUUACUUUAGAAAUGCUCCUUAGGAUUUUUAAAAGUAAAUAUUGAAUUCCUUAUCGAAACCUCGACGUUUUCUACGCCUUUUCUUCUUCUUCUCCUCUCCCUCUCUCUUUAGAUAACUACCUCUCUCUCUAAAGAUCUUGGAGGAUGGAAGAAUGGAAAUGGAAGUGAUGAGAAAAUGGUGAAGGGAGGGUCACUAUUUACAGAAAAUAGGGACCGUCAGAUUUGUGCAAAGGGGUAAAAUUAGGUGAAGAGAGAAAAGUCAAUGGAAAAGGUGUGAUGUGAUAAUUGAUGGAUGUGAUUAGCAGAUGGACGAUGCGAUGUGACGGCGGUGCAAAAAUUAGAGGCAUGCCAUGUAAACAAUGAUGGCGCGUUGCCCAAAUG